Molecule: long non-coding RNA, 5085 nt
Filed under: Homo sapiens (human)
Lineage: Eukaryota; Metazoa; Chordata; Mammalia; Primates; Hominidae
Description: HSALNT0172085
Source: RNAcentral
AUCGUUAGCUCUAGGAUUCCUCGCUGAGUCCCAAGUCUAAUUGUUUACAGACAUCCUAUGUCUAACUGCAUCCCACCACUCUCUGCUUCUCCUUAAGACUGGUCCCCACUUUGCUAUCAGCUGUUCCAUCUCAGCAUCUCUUACUCUUUUCUUCUCAGCCUGACUGCUGCUGGAGCCCAGUGUGAGUCCUGGCAGAAGAAAUCUGCAAACCCUAGUCAGAUGUGUUUCAGCUUUGCAGUGGAUGGUAGGGCCACCCUCCCGUUGGGGUCAGGUCAGAGGACAUGACUCUUUAACAUUACUGAAAUUACAAGUUUCUUGAAUACAAGAUGAAGGAAGAGGUCAAAUAUCAAGUAGGAAGCCAAGCUGCCAUGUUGUAAGCUGCCCUAUGAAGGGACCCACAUGGCAAAGAAUGGAGAAUGACCCCAGCCAGCCAAGAACUCUCAGCCUACCGGCCCAUGAGGAACUGAAUCCUGCCAACAGCGAUGUGAGUGAACUUGGAAGUGGAUCCUUCUCCAGUGGCACCAUCAGGGUGCCCCCACUGGUGUCCUGAAGCUCAUCCUGCACCAAGCAGAAGCGAGCAGAAGAACCCCACACCCUGCCCCUGCUGCAACACACUCACCUGGAGACCUAAAAUGUGACCUCCAUGUCCCCUCUGUGAGAACAGCUUCUUCCACCUCUGCUGUGGGGAACAGCAGCAUCCCAGGCAGAGGGAACUGCAUAUGCAAGGAACCUGGGUGGGGUGGGGGGCAAUGGUGGCCGGCGUUUGAAGAACAGUAAGGCAGUCAAUGUUGCUGGAGCCCAGAGAGAUAAUGAAAGGUGGAUGACGUGGGGUCUUAUAGGUCACCAUGAGAGCUUUACUCUAAGGUGUUGGGAAGCCAGACACCUGCAGACAUGUCUGCAAAUACCUUUGAGGUUUGUCUGAAUCCUCAGCUGCAGAGGAAAACACAGGAAGUAUGGGAGUUCCCCACAAGAGUUCACAUUUGAACUAGGUUGUUUUUUUUUUAACCGCAACCUCUGCCUCCUAGUUGCAAGUGACUCUCCUGUCUCAGCCUCUCGAGUAGCUGAGAUUACAGGCAUGUACCACCACACUGGCUAAUUUUUUGUAUUUUUGGUAGAGAUCGGCUUUCACCAUGUUGGUCAGGCUGGUCUCGAACUCCUGACCUCAAAUGAUCUGCCUGCCUCAGCUUCCCAAAGCGCUAAGAUUACAGGUGUGAGCCACCGCACCUGGCCUUGAACUAGGCUCUGAAGGAUGACCAGGAGUUUUUCAGAUGGGGGAAAGAGGAGCAAAGCAUCCCAGAUAGAGAGACUACUAUAUUCAAAGGCUAAGAAUGGUGAAAGAGCAAAACGUGUUCCAGGGUGGCUGGCCGUACACCUGUCUGGCGUUCAGGACAGGAGGAUGUUAGAGGAUGCUGCAGCAGAAUGCAAGGCUCAGGUGUGGUUGGGGUCAGAUAGGGAGGACCGUACACAAGGCAUCAUCUCUAGCUUCCUUAGGAACACAUUCCCUUCUUUGAGAACUGCAUUGGCCCCUAAUGAGCUGAAGUCACUUUAUUACUUACUGCAGCAUAAACGAGCGCUGUUAUGAGAGGCAUAUGGCCCAUCUCCCCGCUCCUUCUUCCCAUCCCACCCUCGCUCCUGAAAUCCAGGCAGCUGCCUUGGGCAGCAUCAGAAAGUCCCAUGUGCUUGAGGCUUUCAGACAGCUUUUCCCCAAUAAGACAAGCUCUCUACUUAAUCUGAAGAAAUGGAGUGUUAUUAAAUUAAUUUCUGAACUAUCCUUGCCUUGUCCUUGAACUAAAAAGCUAAGGACCCUGGAGUAAAAGGCAGGGGAUGAGGUGGGAGGGGUGAAGGGGAGAAGCAGAAUGAGGCAGGGCAGCAAAGAGGCAGCAGAGAGGCAAGUUCCUGACCCAGGUCUGCCCGACAGACUCGUUCCAGCAGGUGGGCUGCCUCGUGCUGUCCAAGGCACUGUGUUGAAGAGGUUCAGUAAGUAAAAUAAGAAAUGAGAGUCCUCUGAUCAGCUACUGUACCCAGGGCCCUAAAAAUGAUGGAAAGGUGGCCUCCCUCUGCCAUGGGGUCAGCCCAAAAGUAAUUACCAGGAUACUUUGCAGAUUAUUGAAUAAGUCCCUGGAACCGGCACACUGAUUUAUAUAAGACCUGGAGAUUUUGAGAGAUUUGAGAGAAUAUUAAGAAUCAAUCAAUAUUUUAAUUUAUUUCAGGGUCCUGGAGACUUUAGCUCUGUAGAAAACCACAGGGAGGAAAUUGUGACCUUUGAAAUAUGGCUGGCUGGCAGGCAGCAGGGAGGUACCUCGGCAAAGAGCCUGUUUGGCAGCUGCUGCGGGGAAAGACUUCUCUGUGCUGGAAUGUUCUCUUUCUUCACAGCAUCAGUCAGGAAUUUCAAAUAGCCAAAGAGGGGAGGGCCUCAGGGUGAGUGAGCUCUGGAGCCCUGGCAAGAAGGCUCUUGGCUUGAAUGUGCAUAGCUUACUCCUCCCCAGAGAGAGUCCCCAGGGCCUGGAGAGAGGAGCCUGCAGACUUUGUGUCUCUGCCUAGGAGGCGCUGCUGUGAUCUGGAGACGUCCUCGUAGAACCACCUGAUGAUGUGUCAUCAUUGCAGGAGAUCCAGUACCUUCUCCCCUGGGUCACUAGGCUCCCUAGGCCAUACUCUUCCUGUGUCCUCCCCAGGGCUUUACCAGACAUCUCAUAGAGCACGUGAGCACCAGGUCUCGGACUAUCACCAUCCUCCUGUCUUAUUCCGCAGGAAGACUGUAAGCUCCCUUCAGGCAGGAAUGAUGUCUGAUCCAUUUCUGUGUCCCCAGUACCUGGCAUCAUGCCUGGCCCAGGAUAGGUAGAUAUGAAAAAUAAUGUGUUGAAGAAAUGAAUGGUCAAAUGAACUAAUGCAAGAAAAAUAAACAUUUGUUUGUAAAAAUCAGUUAUGUUUCAACAGCAAGCAGACGGCACAUUCAAAUGUAGUAAUUAGAGAAAUUCAGAAAGGUGAAGACAGGGUGGAGGUAACUGACCAAAGCAUGCAGCACCCUGGGGCUGGCAGCAGUGGGAGAGAAGGAGCUGUUAGCACCCCCAGGCCUGAUGCGGCUAAGAGAGAAGCGGGUCCCAGAACCUGGAGCAGGCCACUAAAACGGAGAGGUGGCCUUUUGCAAGGGAGGCAGCCACACCCUCAAACCUGCAGGGAGGAAGUGGGGGAACAAAUACCUUGACCUCGCCCUCUGUCCUUCCUUGGAUCUCCUCCCUGUGUUCCUCACUGGCCAAAGCCAACCAGAAGUCAGAGGCCAGUGGAGCUCCUUGAUCCAGAGUGGAGAGUAGACAAAAGAUCCCCAGCAAAGGGCUGCCAGGUAACUCUCUGCCUAUUCCAUCUGGCUUGUCCAGCCCCACGAGAAGGGCAGACAAUGGGCACCCCAAUCAGUAGUGCCAACUACUGGGGCACCCCAGUAGUUCUCAAUAAGGGGCAGUUUUGCCAGCCGCUGGGGGGAUUUGUUUUUCACAACUGGAAUGGGGAGGGUGCUACUGGUAUCUAGUGAGUAGAGGCCAAGGAUGCUGCUAAACAUACAAAAAUGCAAAGGACAGCACCCACAACAAAGAACUAUCCAGCUCAAGAUGUCGAUUGUGCCAUGCUGGGAAAGCCUGGCCUUAAUCAAAUGUUGAGAGGAACUCAGGCACACUCUGUGCUGCCCUGGCUUCAGCCAGAGAACAUUGCCUCACUGUGCUGGAAAGGGCAGCGUCAUUUGGUCCAACCCAGAGCCAUCGGCCAGUAAGUGACCAGUGUCUGACUUUGAGUGUCCCUUCGGGAAGGUGCUUUAAGGAGAAAGUCUAUCUGCUCUCUGUCUCUCCUCACUGACAGUGAUGUCCUAGGGUGUCCAGAGUGGUAGACGAGUGGCAGGGAGCACUGCUCAAGCCAUGGGCAAUUAGCUUUCCCCUGGAGGCCAAAACCUCCCCACUGGGCUCACCACCUCCCCAACUCCCCUGAUAUUGAGGGGAACGAGAAAGCUUCUCGUUCCCCUCAUUUUCAGCUUUACAUUCACACCAUAAAAACAUUUUGUAAAAGUGAAUCAAGUCUUGCCAUCUGUCUCUCUCACUUUUAUCAUGUUUAUAAUGAAAAGAAGAGUCAAGAGGAAAUGGAAUCCAAACUGCAAAUGGUGUGCUGCUCCCUGGUAGCUGAGAUCCACCCGAGCAAGGCAGGGACUUGAGGAAGAGGGUGGCCCUUGUGGCGCAGCAUCAUGUACAAAGUGAGUUCCAUCAGAAUCUCAUGCGAAGUUCUCAUGGCAGCCCUGGGAAGUAGAGCUUGUAAUCCACAUUGACAGAUGAGGAAACUAAGGUUUUUCAGGGGAGAUAAGUACUUCAAGGUUGUACUCCCAACAAGUAGCAAAGGUCUUAAACUCUGUACUUGGCCAUCAACUCCAAGUUGUAGACCAAUGUUGCUUCCUAUUUCAUCCUGACGUGAAAUUGUUAGCUUACUGCUACUGGGGUUUAGGUACCAUAUUGAAAACUGUUGAAGUUUAAGUGACUGUGGUACUUAAGAGAGCUCUAUUUUACUCCCUGUCACAGCUUAGAGAUUUUGUCCCUCAUCUGACCCUCCAGGGUCACAGCCCGGGAGAGAAUAAGUUCCAUGUGUACAUUCAUGUCACAAAUAUUCAUUGAGAAAACCAUGUGCCAGGUGCGAGAUGUGGGAUGGCCAGAGAGUACCAUUCUGAGCAGGGCAGCAGAUCUUGAAAAAGGACCCUUGGCACCAGAUCAGAGAGGAACCUAAUAAUGGCAGGCUGCAUUUAUUGAGCACUCACUAUGAGCCAGCUACUGCUCAAGUACUUUCUACAUACUAACUCAUUGAACCCCAUAAGGCUGAUACUCUUACAAUUCCCAUUUUACAGAUGAGAUGACUCAAGCAGUUUAGAAAAUUGCUCGAGGAACCCAGCUUAAUAGUUGUUCUGUUCUGACACGUGCUAGAGCGUGGAUAAAUCUUAAAGACAUUUUGCACAGGGGAAAAAGCCAGUAACAAAAGGAAAAAUACCGUGUGAUUCCACUUAUAUGAGGGACCUAGUGUAGUUAAAUUCAUACAGACAGAGACUAGAAAGGCUAGGAGUUGGAG